This 496-nucleotide ribosomal RNA is filed under the name uncultured bacterium. RNAcentral describes it as "partial 16S ribosomal RNA". It matches the Rfam family "Bacterial small subunit ribosomal RNA", at positions 28 to 506 of the family's 1533-position model. The record is from RNAcentral.
GACGAACGCUGGCGGCGUGCCUAAUACAUGCAAGUCGAACGCUGAAGAGAGGAGCUUGCUCUUCUUGGAUGAGUUGCGAACGGGUGAGUAACGCGUAGGUAACCUGCCUUGUAGCGGGGGAUAACUAUUGGAAACGAUAGCUAAUACCGCAUAACAAUGGAUGACACAUGUCAUUUAUUUGAAAGGGGCAAUUGCUCCACUACAAGAUGGACCUGCGUUGUAUUAGCUAGUAGGUGAGGUAACGGCUCACCUAGGCGACGAUACAUAGCCGACCUGAGAGGGUGAUCGGCCACACUGGGACUGAGACACGGCCCAGACUCCUACGGGAGGCAGCAGUAGGGAAUCUUCGGCAAUGGGGGCAACCCUGACCGAGCAACGCCGCGUGAGUGAAGAAGGUUUUCGGAUCGUAAAGCUCUGUUGUAAGUCAAGAACGAGUGUGAGUGUGGAAAGUUCACACUGUGACGGUAGCUUACCAGAAAGGGACGGCUAACUACGU